AGCAGCAGGAAAAAGCACAGCCAUUUUAAAGAACAAGAAGGAGUAAAGAGUAACAUAUGCUUUAAAGAAAAGGAAGGAGGCUCAGAUCAAUCCAUUUUAUCAGAUAUCAUGGGCUCGUUUGAUUCGCGGGAAGCAUUUUCCCUCCUAGGAAUAUGAUUCUUGGGAAACAAAUUCCUAGGAAGAAGAUGUCUAGGAAAGUACUUUUAGCAUGUUUGGUUGACCAUGGAAAAGUGACAAAUUUCCAAAAUGCUUAUGUUUGGUUGGCCAUCCACUUUUCUAAGAAAGUUAUGUAUAAUUCCUAUUAUGCCCUUAAUAAAAAUUAGGUCUUUAAUGCCUCNNNNNNNNNNNNNNNNNNNNAUGGGCUCGUUUGAUUCGCGGGAAGCAUUUUUCCUCCUAGGAAUAUGAUUCUUGGGAAACAAAUUCCUAGAAAGAAGAUGCCUAGGAAAGUACUUUUAGCAUGUUUGGUUGACCAUGGAAAAGUGACAAAUUUCCAAAGUGCUUAUGUUUGGUUGGCCAUCCACUUUUCUGAGAAAGUUAUGUAUAAUUUCUAUUAUGCCCUUAAUAAAAAUUA
Molecule: long non-coding RNA, 571 nt
Filed under: Phoenix dactylifera (date palm)
Lineage: Eukaryota; Viridiplantae; Streptophyta; Magnoliopsida; Arecales; Arecaceae
Description: long non-coding RNA (PDAC_LNC003407)
Source: RNAcentral